CCCCGCAAGGGGGUAAGUAGAGUGGCAAACGGGUGAGUAACACGUGGGUGACCUGCCUUCGAGUGGGGGAUAACGUCCCGAAAGGGACGCUAAUACCGCAUGACAUCCUGCUCUUGGACGAGUGGAGAUCAAAGCUAGGGAUCGUAAGACCUGGCGCUUGAAGAGGGGCCCGCGCCUGAUUAGCUAGUUGGUGGGGUAAUGGCUCACCAAGGCAACGAUCAGUAGCCGGCCUGAGAGGGCGGACGGCCACACUGGGACUGAGACACGGCCCAGACUCCUACGGGAGGCAGCAGUGGGGAAUUGUUCGCAAUGGGCGCAAGCCUGACGACGCAACGCCGCGUGGAGGACGAAGAUCUUCGGGUCGUAAACUCCUGUCGAGCGGGAAGAACGCUUCCCGGGUGAAUAAUCCGGGGAAUUGACGGUACCGCUAAAGGAAGCCCCGGCUAACUCCGUGCCAGCAGCCGCGGUAAUACNGGGGGGGGCAAGCGUUGUUCGGAAUUACUGGGCGUAAAGGGCUGGUAGGCGGCCAACUAAGUCGGAUGUGAAAUCCCCAGGCUUAACCUGGGAACUGCAUCCGAUACUGGUCGGCUUGAAUCCGGGAGAGGGAUGCAGAAUUCCAGGUGUAGCGGUGAAAUGCGUAGAUAUCUGGAGGAAUACGGGUGGCGAAGGCGGCAUCCUGGACCGGCAUUGACGCUGAACAGCGAAAGCUAGGGGAGCAAACGGGAUUAGAUACCCCGGUAGUCCUAGCCCUAAACG
Molecule: ribosomal RNA, 756 nt
Filed under: uncultured bacterium
Lineage: Bacteria
Description: bacterial SSU rRNA
Rfam family: Bacterial small subunit ribosomal RNA
Source: RNAcentral